Molecule: ribosomal RNA, 749 nt
Filed under: uncultured bacterium
Lineage: Bacteria
Description: bacterial SSU rRNA
Rfam family: Bacterial small subunit ribosomal RNA
Source: RNAcentral
AAGUUUGAUCAUGGCUCAGGAUGAACGCUGGCGGUGCGCCUAAUGCAUGCAAGUCGAGCGACGCAUACCCAGUCCGUAAGGACAGGGUAUGACGGAGCGGCGAACGGGUGAGUAACACGUGAGCAACCUGCCCCACAGAUCGGGAUAGCCCAGGGAAACUUGGAUUAAUACCGGAUAUUCUCCUUGGACCGCAUGGUCCGUUGAGGAAAUGCCUUUGUGCUGUGGGAUGGGCUCGCGAUUUAUCAGUUAGUUGGUGGGGUAACGGCCUACCAAGACAAUGACGAGUAGCUGGUCUGAGAGGACGAUCAGCCACACUGGAACUGAGACACGGUCCAGACUCCUACGGGAGGCAGCAGCAGGGAAUCUUGCGCAAUGGACGAAAGUCUGACGCAGCGACACCGCGUGGGGGAUGAAGGCCUUCGGGUUGUAAACCCCUUUUAGGAGGGAAGAAAUUGACGGUACCUCCAGAAAAAGGACCGGCCAACUACGUGCCAGCAGCCGCGGUAAUACGUAGGGUCCGAGCGUUAUCCGGAAUCAUUGGGCGUAAAGAGCUCGUAGGCGGUUCAGCAAGUCGGCUGUGAAAGUUCGAGGCUCAACCUCGAAAUUGCAGUCGAUACUGCUGUGACUUGAAUUCGGUAGAGGAGAAUGGAAUUCCCGGUGUAGCGGUGAAAUGCGCAGAUAUCGGGAGGAACACCAGUAGCGAAGGCGGUUCUCUGGGCCGAUAUUGACGCUGAGGAGCGAAAGCGUGG